Molecule: ribosomal RNA, 513 nt
Filed under: uncultured bacterium
Lineage: Bacteria
Description: partial 16S ribosomal RNA
Rfam family: Bacterial small subunit ribosomal RNA
Source: RNAcentral
GACGAACGCUGGCGGCGUGCUUAACACAUGCAAGUCGAACGAAAAGAGGGAAAGAGCUUGCUCUGUCCGGAAUAGAGUGGCAAACGGGUGAGUAACACGUAAACAACCUGCCGUCAGGAUGGGGACAACAGACGGAAACGACCGCAAAUACCGAAGAAGUUCCAAGGGCCGCAUGGCCCAUGGAGGAAAAGGUGGCCCCGACCGGUAAGCUGGCGCCUGAAGGGGGGUAUGCGUCUGAUUAGCGGGAUGGGGGGGUCACGGGCCAACAAGGCGACGAUCAGUAGCCGGUCUGGGAGGAUGGACGGCCCCCCUGGGACUGGGAACCGGUCCAGCCCCCUACGGGGGGCCGCCGUGGGGGAUCUUCCGACAUGGGCGCAAGCCUGACGGCGCCCCGCCGGGUUGGAGGUGGCGGCCUUCGGGUUGUAAAACUCUGUGAUCCGGGACGAAAAGGCAUAGUGCGAAGAACAGACUGCAUUGACGGUACCGGAAAAGUAAGCCCCGGCUAACUACGUG